Long non-coding RNA from Medicago truncatula (barrel medic), 530 nucleotides. RefSeq lists it as uncharacterized. The record is from RefSeq and is a predicted model, not a curated record. Lineage: Eukaryota; Viridiplantae; Streptophyta; Magnoliopsida; Fabales; Fabaceae. The transcript has 3 exons.
UUCAGCGAAAGGUUCACCUUUACAACGUCACUUUUGGGCUUUUUAUGCUGGAUUGGUGGGAACGUUGCUCAUUCAAUAUUUUGGUGAUUGUACUAAUGUGUUUUGUAGUGCGGUACAUUACCCAGUUCUUCAAGAGGUAUAUAUUGUGUAUUAUUUAAAUGUCACAUAUCUCUGGUAGAAGCAAAAUCAUUCUCAUGUGAAGAUGCCAAUGUAGAUCUUCACUUGAGGAUUUAAAUUAGUUGCAGCAGUUGUGUGUUUGGUAUAAGCUGAAGCUGACUCAAAAACAUCUUGUAGCAGUUUGAUAUGGACCAACUUGAGAAUUUCUUAAUAUUUAUUAUUCCCUCCGGUUCAUUGUGUAAGUGAUGUAUCUAGUCUAUAUUUAUAACGAGAUGCAUUAAUUAUUUAAUGAACCUAAAAAGUCAAUUGCUUAUAAGCCUGUUUUGGAUGUUGAUUGGCAUUUUUGACAUUGUAAUUAUUAUUGGUAAUUUUCAUUAUUAAAUGUUUUAAACUUUGAAAUUAUUAGUUGACUA